This 1721-nucleotide ribosomal RNA is filed under the name Bacteroidales bacterium. RNAcentral describes it as "partial 23S ribosomal RNA". It matches the Rfam family "Bacterial large subunit ribosomal RNA", at positions 1177 to 2925 of the family's 2925-position model. The record is from RNAcentral. Lineage: Bacteria; Pseudomonadati; Bacteroidota; Bacteroidia; Bacteroidales.
GGGGCUAAAACUGCAUACCGAAGCUUGGGAAUACGCGUAGGCGUAUUGGUAGAGGAGCAAUGUAUAAGGGCAGAAGCCGUAUCGAAAGGGGCGGUGGACUUUAUACAAGAGAGAAUGCCGGCAUAAGUAGCGAGAGAGAAGUGAGAAACUUCUCCGUCGAAAGCCUAAGGAUUCCUGGGGAAGGUUCGUCCACCCAGGGUAAGUCGGGGCCUAAGUCGAGGCCGAAAGGCGUAGAUGAAGGACAACGGGUAGAUAUUCCCGUACCGACACAUAGAAUGAAGCAGGGACACGGAAGGAUAGUCGGACCGCGAGAACGGAGAGUCGCGGGCAAAUAACGAGGGAGGGACGGCAGUGAAGCACACCGUUCCGAUAAUUCCGAGUUAUGACGCGGAGGGAAAAUAGUACCGAAGCCGAUGAAUUCACGCCGGCGAGAAAAGCUGCUAAAUAUAUAUAUUAUUUGCCCGUACCGCAAACCGACACAGGUAGGCGGCAAGAGAAUUGCAAGACUAUCGGGAUAACCAUUGUUAAGGAACUCGGCAAAAUAACCCCGUAACUUCGGGAGAAGGGGAGCCUCGCGAGAGGCCGCAGAGAAAUGUCCCAAGCGACUGUUUACCUAAAACACAGGUCUCUGCUAAAGCGCAAGCUGAAGUAUAGGGGCUGACGCCUGCCCGGUGCCGGAAGGUCAAGGGGAAGAGUUAGGGGAAAACCCGAAGCUUAGAACUUAAGCCCCGGUGAACGGCGGCCGUAACUAUAACGGUCCUAAGGUAGCGAAAUUCCUUGUCGGGUAAGUUCCGACCCGCAUGAAUGGCGUAACGACUUGGGCACUGUCUCAACAGGGGACCCGGCGAAAUUGAAGUAUACGUGAAGAUGCGUAUUACCCGCGACUGGACGGAAAGACCCCAUAGAGCUUUACUGUAAAUUCAUAUUGUCUCGUUGAAACUGAUGCACAGGAUAGGUGGGACGCGGAGAGGCGGUUGCUUUGGCAAUCGCGGAGCGGUCCUUGGGAUACCACCCUUCGGUUUCGACGAUUCUAACCGAGUGCCGUAAUCCGGGCUUGGGACAGUGUGUGUUGGACAGUUUGACUGGGGCGGUCGCCUCCUAAAGAGUAACGGAGGCGUACAAAGGUUCACUCAGUAUGGUUGGAAACCAUACGCAGAGCGCAAUGGUAUAAGUGAGCUUUACUGCAAGACCUACAAGUCGAGCAGUUGCGAAAGCAGGUCAUAGUGAUCCGGUGGUAGAGAAUGGAAUUGCCAUCGCUUAACGGAUAAAAGUUACCUUGGGGAUAACAGGCUGAUUCCUCCCAAGCGUCCACAGCGACGGAGGAGUUUGGCACCUCGAUGUCGGCUCGUCACAUCCUGGGGCUGUAGCAGGUCCCAAGGGUUCGGCUGUUCGCCGAUUAAAGUGGCACGCGAGCUGGGUUCAGAACGUCGUGAGACAGUUCGGUCCCUAUCUAUCGUGGGCGCAGGAAUUUUGCGGAGCUCUGACUCUAGUACGAGAGGACCGAGUUGGACGUACCGCUGGUGUACCGGUUGUUUCGCCAGAAGCAUUGCCGGGUAGCUAUGUACGGAUUGGAUAAGUGCUGAAAGCAUCUAAGCACGAAGCCAGCUCCAAGAUAAGAAUUCCCUUGAGGGUUGUGGAAGACUACCACGUUGAUAGGCUACAGGUGUAAAGGCAGUAAUGUCAAAGCCGAGUAGUACUAAUUGCCCGAAAGAUUUUCUUGC